This 112-nucleotide ribosomal RNA is filed under the name Cellulosimicrobium cellulans. Its description in RNAcentral is "partial 16S rRNA. Bacterial SSU". It matches the Rfam family "Bacterial small subunit ribosomal RNA", at positions 1 to 109 of the family's 1533-position model. Lineage: Bacteria; Bacillati; Actinomycetota; Actinomycetes; Micrococcales; Promicromonosporaceae. The record is from RNAcentral.
CAUUUACGGAGAGUUUGAUCCUGGCUCAGGACGAACGCUGGCGGCGUGCUUAACACAUGCAAGUCGAACGAUGAUGCCCAGCUUGCUGGGUGGAUUAGUGGCGAACGGGUGA